UGUUAUACACUACUGACGCGGCCGACAACCUACGACUAAUAUUCGUCUGUAGCCGCAGCGACAGAACGUAGCAACAGGCAACGGCCCGAAGGGCGAGGAGAGCUAGCGACGAGUUAUCCUUCCCCACCCACCA
This 133-nucleotide small RNA is filed under the name Klebsiella pneumoniae. Its description in RNAcentral is "RtT sRNA". It matches the Rfam family "RtT RNA". From Rfam's summary of the family: This family represents a bacterial cis-regulatory element known as RtT RNA. The exact function of RtT is unknown although it is thought that it may be involved in changing the cellular response in relation to amino acid starvation. Lineage: Bacteria; Pseudomonadati; Pseudomonadota; Gammaproteobacteria; Enterobacterales; Enterobacteriaceae. The record is from RNAcentral.